UUUCUUUCUUUCUUUAUAUUUUCUUUUCUCUUCCUUCCCAUUUUCAUACCCACGACGCUACCCCUCUCACUACAGGCGACACCACUAUCGGCGACACCACUGUCUGUGGCAUCAGUGCUAAUGGCGCCACUGCCAAUUGUCAAUCUCCUCUAGUCACACUUCUUUCUUUCUUUCUUUCUUUCUUUCUUUCUUUCUCUCUUUCUCUCUCUCUCUCUCUAUCUAUCUAUCUAUCUCUCUAUUUUCGUACAUCUUUUCGCUUUCAUUUUCUCAGAUUUUCUGAUAUGAAAUAUUGCAUCCAUGGUUUCCGUAAAGAGCGUUCAUCCCUUUUUACUUCCAGCCGAGUGACUCAUGGCUGCCGUGCCGCUCAACUCUAUCGUCAUCAUUUCUACCAUCGUUGUUUGGUUUCAAGCAUUGUGUUGAGAGUGGGAAGAGCAAAAUGAGAGCAGUUGGGGUGGUUGAAGUAGGGUAUGGGCAUGUGCCGAAAGUUGGUGGAACCUGAUUUGGGAUAAAAGGAUCACUGGCAACUUGAAAGGAGGUGGGGGGAUAUGGCUCUAAAUUCUCUCGAUCUCUUGGUAUUUUUUUGAGUUUCUGUGUGUAGUGAGGUUGAGAAAUUUUGGUUUGUAUUUUUUGAGCUUUGUUUGGGGAGUUAUGGAGAGCCAAUGCUAAUGGGAUUGCACUGCA
This is a long non-coding RNA of Vitis vinifera (wine grape), 681 nucleotides long. RefSeq lists it as uncharacterized. Lineage: Eukaryota; Viridiplantae; Streptophyta; Magnoliopsida; Vitales; Vitaceae. The record is from RefSeq and is a predicted model, not a curated record. The transcript is spliced from 2 exons.